GCAAAAGCAACUGAAUUACUCUUUAAGUUUUGAUUCCGGAAGCAGAGAUCUUUCCAGAUAUGAAGAAUAUGGAAACAACCAGCGCAGGUUUUUAGGCCAGCUUUACUUUCAUUUGAAUAUCAUUCAUAAUUCUUAUUUUAAUACAUGCAUUUGUUAAUAUAUUUUUAAUAUAAAAUUUACAGGUAAUGAUGAUUGGUUGGAGGGUGUGCCAUCGAUGAUUGCUGCCAGUAUUGUUGAUGAUAACACUGCGAAUGAUGUCAAUCUCGAUCUUCUUACUGUCCCUCAAUAUGGGAGAAAUAUUGAUCAAACCGGUUAAAUGCAAGCAAUAUUAUUCUUUUGUGUUAUGCUUAUUUAAAUAAAAAGAUGGGUACUGUUAUUACCUAUCAAUGUGUGAGUGUUUGCUUAUUCAGUUUUACUGAAUAAGAUAUCUUGAUAUGUAUAAGAGUUUUUCUUUAUUUACUAUCUUGUGUGGUGUCUUUCUAAAAAAGUAAAUUAGUGAAUAAAAUUGUUGUGUUUGUUAAUGUGUUGAUUAAAUUAGCCUGUCCAUAUAUAUGUGCUUAAUUAUGUUCUCUUUUCUUUCUUUUUUUUUUCCCUUAAAUUAACGAACACCACAUGUUGGUUAGCUAAUUAUUGCGCAGCUAUAGCGGGUGACUUAGAUCGCCUAAAGAAUGUCUAUAUUUCCUAAAUGGCGUGUAACAUCAUUAUAUGCUAAGCAUCGAUCUUAAAUGUUCUAUCAGUUCUUUGUUAUAUGAGAAUCGAGAUCUCUUCGUGCUAAAGAUAUAUUUGGGGUUUAAUUAAAAGCUUGAUGUCAAAAACCAAAAUUUCAUUCUCUACAUAUACUAUUCCAUGAUAUUGUAUCAAGCCAAAACAAAAACUCGCAAAAGCAACUUACUUAGUUAUACCUUUCGAGUUUUGAUUCCGAUUCACCAAUCUAAGGGUUUAAAGUAAGCUGACAUGAAUUUUCUUGUUUUUGAAACAGAAAGAAUAAUGGUUCAAGAGAUAUAAUUUUAAACACAAGUUUAGAUAUAAUUUUCUAACCAUAAUUUUUUAACUACUAGAUUAAAGAUGAGUUAAUGGAGGGUCAAGAUUAGAUGAUAUGAAAUUAUUAACUUCAUUCGCAUUAUUUUCUCUUAUAUACCGGUUUUUGAUUGCGACACCUCGUACGAGAAUCAUGUGAAAUUUAAGGUACAUUUGGUAUCAUUUACAUUUUUUAUUUUUCAUUUUAUAAAAACACAAAAUAAAAAAAUGCGUCCUAACCAAAUAAGAUCAGUUUUCAUUUUCCAACAAAAAUGAAAUCAUUUUAUUUUUCACUUUAACAAAGAAAAGUAAAAAACAACAUUUUAACAUUUUUUUUUUAUUUUUGUUUUUUUGGGGUCCACUAACAUUGUGAUGUUCAUGCUUUAUUUGUCAACAAUACUGCAUGGGUCUCACAAUCCACUCACGUUGUUAAUAUUAUAAUUUAACUUUUUUUUAUAAUAUGCUAAUAAGUUUUAAAAAAUACUACGCCCAUAUUAUUUUAAUUCUUUACUAAUAAUAAUUUGUGUUUUAACAAAUUUCAAAUUACUAUAAUUAUAUAUCAUCUAUAAUUUAUGAGUAUAAAUUAUCCAAUAAUAUAAUUAAAUAAGUUUUUAAAUGAUGGAAAUCUAUAUUAUAAAUUAUGUCCUUUUAUAACUAUUUUAGUUGUUUAUGUUGUUUGUUAAAAUUAACAUCUAUAAUAAUAAUGAAAGACCAUCCAAAAUAAUUAGAAAUUGAAAAAGGUUUCAUUAAAUUAUGUUGCCAUUCUCUGUUAUUGUCACUAAAUUUUCAAAUAAACAACUAAAUACAUCUUUACUAUUUUUUAUUUUUAUAUAUAAUUUUAAGGACUCGCUUAUGUUGCAACAGUUGCAACAUACCAGAAUUUUUGUCUUUUUGUGACUUCAGCUCCUCACUCUCACUGUCACAUUUAAUGGAAAAGUAGCAUGUAAGGAUGUGUCUAUUUGGUAAUUAACGUUAUAAUCCCUAUAUUUUUAAAAAUUCAAAAACAUUAAAGAGUUACAAAUUUUACUGCAUAAGUCCAAAUUGUCUCAAAAUUGUAAAUAAUUAGACAAUUAAAAUUUGGAGAAAUUUCAUUAACAUUUUCAUUGUUAAAAAUACAAAAUAAAUAAAAAAUUAGUAAAUUUAAUUUUUGAAUAAAAUUAAAAUAUUAAAAAUUAAUUCAAAAAUCAUUCCCAAUUUCUUCAUCUCAUCCAUCUCAUGUAUCACGAACUGGAAUCGAAAGUAAUUAAAAAAAAUAAUCAUGGAAUGAAAUAAUAGAUAUCGUCAGUUCAAGUUAGAAAAACAUUAACCAAUUAUUCUUUUCAUUAGCUUAAGCCAUUAAUUUGGUUUAGUACAUGGAGGGUAGAACUUCAACGUAAAAUAAAAAAAAAUGUAAUUCCAGAUUAUUAAUUUAAGUUUCAACCCAAAUUAUAGUGAAAUUUCCCAAUUACUACUAUUUUUUUAUGAUAUUAGUAUGUCAGUGUUUAAUAUUCAAAAUAAUAAGAAUAUGUUUAACAUAUUAACAUUUGCAAAAGAGUAGAAGAAUAAAAUUCAUAAUUAUGAUACUUCGAUUCUAAUCAAAUUAUAUUGGUAUGAAUUAAUUCAAUAAGCCUAUACACCCAAAUAAGCUAAAUAAUAGGAGCUUUACUAUUCCUAAGUUAUACAUUGUAGAUUAUUAUAACUUUGUUAAUUAAUAUAACAUUCUCAAACAGCUAAUUAAAACUCUUUUGCCAAUUAAAGUUGGUAGAAAAAAUCGAAUCCCAAUCGGAAUCCCAAAUCCCGUUCCAAAUGGUACAUGAUACGGUAUAUGACUUAAAAAAAUUAAAAUAAAAAAGAAUUUGAGAUUAAAUUUAUUCUCAUUAAAACUCGGGAUUAGUUAGGACUUCAAUCGGGAUCCCGAUGAAAUCCUAAUUAUAUCAAAUUGUUUUAAUUUUCUAAUUUAAUUAAAAUGUUAAAAAAAAAUUCCAAAAUUUGGCCAAAGCCCAAACUCAAUGCUUGCUUUUGUACUUCUUUAGGCUAAUUAUUAAUAGCGUAAGAUUUAUAUUUUUUUAGUCAUUAGAUUAUUUUAAUUAAAAUAAUCAUUAAGCAAAUAAUAAUAAUAAUAAUAAUAAUAAUAAUAAUAAUAAUAAGGAAAAAAUUGGGCCACCUAUGGAGUGGAGGGAAAGAAUGAGAGAGGAAAAUAAAAUUAUAAUUAAAAAUAAGAAGAAAAGCAAGGAGUCAAAUGAAAUUUACCACAUAAAAAGACAAAAGUUGUGGUACCUGCACAUGUCGCAAAGUAGCUAAAUCCUAAUUUUAAAACAAUCAACCAAAUAUAUUUUUAAAUUCAUAAAAAAUAAAACAUUCUUAUCCUACAAAGUAAAUUCAAAAACAUCAUUUAAAAAAUAAUACAAACAUAUCACAUCUUAAUACUGUAGAUAAAUGUAAUCUUGUUGAUUUUGAUUUUUUUUUUUUUAACCAGUUACACACAGCAACAAUAAUGGAUCCCACCAAUAGAUAUUAUUGCUGUGUGUAAGUGUAUAUUAUGUUAAGCGUAUCACAUGGGAUUUUUUUUUUAUAGACAGACCACGUGCAACUCGUGGCUUGUUGAUUUUGAUGCAGAUCUUGAAUGAUUUGUGUUCGCCGUCUACGAACUUGAGCCACGGGGCCCAGCAAGCUCCCACGAGAUGCACGUGAGCCAUUAAAAAAUAUUUCAGAAAAAUGAAAACCACCGCGCUUUGGCGGUUCUGGCCACAUUUUCCAAAUUUAUUUAUUUUUUUUGAAAGAGAAGACUAUUAUUGAUAUUGCCUAUUAGUUCAACCACGUCCACACAAUGCACCAACCUCACUGUCGGCAACUGCAUUACCCAUCUAUAUAUACGUGCAUGUUAUAUCAAACCAGAAGCAAGAACUCGCAAAAGCAUCUGAAUUACUCUCGAGUUUUGAUUCCGGAAGCAGAGAGAUCUUUUCAGAUAUGAAGAUUGUGGAAACAACCUGCGCAGGUUUUUAGGCCAGCUUUACUUUCAUUUGAAUAAUAUUCAUAAUUCUUAUUUUAAUACAUGCAUUUGUUAAUAUAUUUUUAAUAUAAAAUUUACAGGUAAUGACGAUUGUUUGGAGGGUCGGAUAUGGAAUUUGGCCAGUAUUGUUGAUGAUAAUAUUGCGAAUGACGUCAAUCUCGAUUUUCUCGCUGUGCCUCAAUACGGGAGAAACAUUGACCAAACUGGUUAAGGGCAAAUAAUAUUACUUUUUUUGUGUUAUGCUUAUUUAAAUAAAAAGAUGGGUACUGUUAUUACCUAUCAAUGUGUGAGUAUUUGUUUAUUCAGUUCUACUGAAUAAGAUAUCUUGAUAUGUAUAAAAGUUUUUCUUUAUUUACUAUCUUUGUGUGGUGUCUUCCUGGAAAAGGAAAUUACUGAAUAAAAUUAUUGCGUCUGUUAUAAAGUGUUGAUUAAAUUAGCCUGUCCAUAUUUAAUUAUGUUCUCUUUUUCUUUUGUUUUCUUUAAAUUAACGAACACCACAUGUUGGUUAGCUAAUUAUUGCGCAGCUA
This 4533-nucleotide long non-coding RNA is filed under the name Citrus maxima (pomelo). RNAcentral's name for it is "long non-coding RNA (CMAX_LNC001732)". The record is from RNAcentral. Lineage: Eukaryota; Viridiplantae; Streptophyta; Magnoliopsida; Sapindales; Rutaceae.